AACGACUCUCGGCAACGGAUAUCUCGGCUCUCGCAUCGAUGAAGAACGUAGCGAAAUGCGAUACUUGGUGUGAAUUGCAGAAUCCCGUGAACCAUCGAGUCUUUGAACGCAAGUUGCGCCCGAAGCCACCCGGCUGAGGGCACGUCUGCCUGGGUGUCACGCA
This 163-nucleotide ribosomal RNA is filed under the name Sclerolinon digynum. Its description in RNAcentral is "5.8S ribosomal RNA". It matches the Rfam family "5.8S ribosomal RNA". From Rfam's summary of the family: 5.8S ribosomal RNA (5.8S rRNA) is a component of the large subunit of the eukaryotic ribosome. It is transcribed by RNA polymerase I as part of the 45S precursor that also contains 18S and 28S rRNA. The record is from RNAcentral. Lineage: Eukaryota; Viridiplantae; Streptophyta; Magnoliopsida; Malpighiales; Linaceae.